UACAGAGGCCUCGAGCGUUAGGCGGAAUCACUGGGCUUAAAGCGUGUGUAGGCGGACCCCUAAGUGCCUUGUGAAAUCCCACGGCUCACCCGUGGAACUGCUGGGCAUACUGAGGGUCUUGAGCCACCUAGGGGCUACCGGAACAAAUGGUGGAGCGGUGAAAUGCGUAGAUAUCAGGAGGAACACCGGUGGCGAAGGCGGGUCUCUGGGCAGUAACUGACGCUGAGGAGCGAAAGCGUGGGGAGCGAACAGG
RNAcentral lists this ribosomal RNA (253 nucleotides) under uncultured bacterium. RNAcentral's name for it is "partial 16S ribosomal RNA". It matches the Rfam family "Bacterial small subunit ribosomal RNA", at positions 524 to 776 of the family's 1533-position model. The record is from RNAcentral.